UAGCUCACUUGGUAGAGCAUGGUGCUCACAAUGCCAGGGUUGUGGGUCAAUUCCCAC
Molecule: transfer RNA, 57 nt
Filed under: Salmo salar (Atlantic salmon)
Lineage: Eukaryota; Metazoa; Chordata; Actinopteri; Salmoniformes; Salmonidae
Rfam family: tRNA
About the family: Transfer RNA (tRNA) molecules are approximately 80 nucleotides in length. Their secondary structure includes four short double-helical elements and three loops (D, anti-codon, and T loops).
Source: Rfam by way of RNAcentral